GACGAACGCUGGCGGCGUGCUUAACACAUGCAAGUCGAACGCUGAAGCUCAGCUUGCUGGGUGGAUGAGUGGCGAACGGGUGAGUAACACGUGAGUAACCUGCCCUCUUCUUUGGGAUAACGCCCGGAAACGGGUGCUAAUACUGGAUAUUCACUGAUUCUCGCGUGGGGGUUGGUGGAAAGGUUUUUUCUGGUGGGGGAUGGGCUCGCGGCCUAUCAGCUUGUUGGUGGGGUGAUGGCCUACCAAGGCUUUGACGGGUAGCCGGCCUGAGAGGGUGACCGGUCACAUUGGGACUGAGAUACGGCCCAGACGCCUACGGGAGGCAGCAGUGGGGAAUAUUGCACAAUGGGCGAAAGCCUGAUGCAGCGACGCCGCGUGAGGGAUGGAGGCUUUCGGGUUGUAAACCUCUUUCGCUCAUGGUCAAGCCGCAGCUUUGGGUUGUGGUGAGGGUAGUGGGUAAAGAAGCGCCGGCUAACUACGUG
RNAcentral lists this ribosomal RNA (482 nucleotides) under uncultured bacterium. Its description in RNAcentral is "partial 16S ribosomal RNA". It matches the Rfam family "Bacterial small subunit ribosomal RNA", at positions 28 to 507 of the family's 1533-position model. The record is from RNAcentral.